GAUGAACGCUGGCGGCGUGCCUAAUACAUGCAAGUCGAGCGAACGGACGAGAAGCUUGCUUUUCUGAUGUUAGCGGCGGACGGGUGAGUAACACGUGGAUAACCUACCUAUAAGACUGGGAUAACUUCGGGAAACCGGAGCUAAUACCGGAUAAUAUUUUGAACCGCAUGGUUCAAAAGUGAAAGACGGUCUUGCUGUCACUUAUAGAUGGAUCCGCGCUGCAUUAGCUAGUUGGUAAGGUAACGGCUUACCAAGGCAACGAUGCAUAGCCGACCUGAGAGGGUGAGCGGCCACACUGGAACUGGGACACGGUCCAGACUCCUACGGGAGGCAGCAGUAGGGAAUCUUCCGCAAUGGGCGGAAGCCUGACGGAGCAACGCCGCGUGAGUGAUGAAGGUCUUCGGAUCGUAAAACUCUGUUAUUAGGGAAGAACAUAUGUGUAAGUAACUGUGCACAUCUUGACGGUACCUAAUCAGAAAGCCACGGCUAACUACGUG
This 497-nucleotide ribosomal RNA is filed under the name uncultured bacterium. Its description in RNAcentral is "partial 16S ribosomal RNA". It matches the Rfam family "Bacterial small subunit ribosomal RNA", at positions 28 to 507 of the family's 1533-position model. The record is from RNAcentral.